GUUUCCGUGGUGCAGCGGUAAUCACGUGCGCCUCACACGCGCAAGGUCUCCGGUUCGAUCCCGGCGGAAACA
RNAcentral lists this transfer RNA (72 nucleotides) under Ixodes scapularis (black-legged tick). RNAcentral describes it as "tRNA-Val". Lineage: Eukaryota; Metazoa; Arthropoda; Arachnida; Ixodida; Ixodidae. The record is from RNAcentral.